This 1922-nucleotide long non-coding RNA is filed under the name Phasianus colchicus (ring-necked pheasant). Its description in RNAcentral is "lncRNA (ENSPCLG00000017129.1)". The record is from RNAcentral. Lineage: Eukaryota; Metazoa; Chordata; Aves; Galliformes; Phasianidae.
UCCGAUUGGCGAAACGGAAGGGGGCGGAGCGAAACAACCGCAUUGGCGGCCGGGAGGGAGCGGAAGCGGCGGGGGAGGGACUUCCGGCGGCAAGAUGUCGGCGCUGGGGAGGGCGAUUCGGUCGUGGCGGGGUCCGUGGGGAGCGCGGGGGAGGAGCGCGGGAAGCGGAGCCGUCGUGGCGGCGCCGCGGGAAACGAUCGGAGCGCAUCGGGAGGAGGAAACGUGGGAGGAGGCGCAGCGGAAGGUGGGCGGGGCCUGGAGGAGGGGGCGGGGCCUGAGGGUGGCCUAUUGAAGGGGGCGUGGUAUUGGGAAGGGGCGGGCCUGAGGGAAGGGGGCGUGGUCUGUGGAAGGGGCGGGGCCUGUGGGGGCUAUGCGCGGGAGGGGGCGGGAUCUGCGAGGUGAUUGGCUGCGAAGGGGUGGUAUGAUAAUGAGGGGGCGGGGCGUCGGGUGGCUGCUGUUGGGCUAUGGGGCCCGGCCCAGUGCCUCCCAGUUCAUCCCAGUAACUCCCAGCGCCCUCCCAGUAUGGGCUCACAUCCCCCAUUCCUGCUCCCAGUGCUUCCCAGUUCAUCCCAGUAAGUCCCAGUGCCCUCCCAGUAUGGGCUCACAUCUCUCAUUCCUGCUCCCAGUGCCUCCCAGUUUAUCCCAGUAACUCCCAGUUCAUCCCAGUGCAUCCCAGUUCACCCCAGUUCAUCCCAGUAACUCUGAGUGCCCUCCCAGUAUGGCCUCACAUCCCCCAUUCCUGCUCCCAGUUCAUCCCAGUAACUCCCAGUUCAUCCCAGUGCCUCCCAGUGCCUCCCAGUGCCUCCCAGUUCAUCCCAGUUCCUCCCAGUGUCCUCCCAGUAUGGGCUCACAUCCCUCAUUCCUGCUCCCAGUCCCUCCCAGUUCAUCCCAGUUCAUCCCAGUAUCUCCCAGUGCCCUCCUAGUAAGGCCACACAUCCCCUAUCCCUGCUCCCAGUCUCUCCCAGUUCAUCCCAGUUCAUCCCAGUAUCUCCCAGUUCCUCCCAGUGCAUUCCCAGUAAGGCCCUACAUGCCCAAUCCCUGCUCCCAGUUCAUCCCGGUGUCUCCCAGUUCAUCCCAAUUCAUCCUAGUCCCUCCCAGUGCUUCCCAGUACCAUCCCAGUGCCCUCCCAGUAAGGCCCUACAUCCCCAAUCCUGGCUCCCAGUUCAUCCCAGUUCAUCCCAGUGCAUCCCAGUGCAUCCCAGUGCCUCCCAGUAUGGGUUCACAGCCCCCAUUCCUGCUUCCAGUCCCUCUCAGUGUCUCCCAGUUCAUCCCAGUACCUUCCAGUGCCCCCCAGUCCAUCCCAGUUGCUCUCAAUUCCCUCCCAGUUCACCCCAGUUCCAUCCCAGUUCCCACCCAGUCCCUCCCAGUUACCCCCAAUUCCCUCCCAGUCCGCCCCAGUUCCCUCCCAGUCCACCCCAGUUCCAUUCCAGUUCCAUCCCAGUCCACCCCAGUUCCCACCCAGUUCCUCCCAGUUCCAUUCCAGUUCCCUCCCAGUCCCUCCCAGUUCUCCCCAUUGCCCAGACUGACACCGAGGGGCGUGGCCAAAUGAAAGGGGGCGUGGCUUAAGGAAAGGGGGCGUGGCCUAAGACAGAAGGGCGGAGCCUAAGGCCACCCUAACCAAUGAGGGGCGGAGUCUAAUACACCAAGGGGGCGUGGUCAUAAGAAGGGGGCGUGGCCAACUGACACUGGGCGGUGCUCAGUGAUUGGGUGGGGUCCGAAUGAGGGGCGUGGUCACAGCGUGUGGGCGGGGCUAAAGGGUGUGGGCGGGGCUUAAUGGGAAGACAUUUGGGGGGGUUACGUUGCGUUUUUGUAACUUUUCCCUUUUAAUUUUUUUAUUCUUUCCUUUUUUCUUCUUUUUCUGCCAUCAUUUUCUUCCACCUCUUUUCCCAUUUUGUUAUUUUGUCUGCUGGUUUUGUUUUUUG